UUUUAGGGUAAGGUGGUGUCCCUCGAGGGCUUCCACCCAUCCCCUUUAAAAGCCGGACCUUCCCGCUUUUCUCUUCCAUCUGUUUCGUUUUCUAGCUUUGGGUUCUCAAUCUGAGAUUUUCUUCAAUAGCUUACUCUAACCAGAAAAAUACUCUAAACCUUUCCCUUUGAAUUUUUUCGAUUUUAAUUGGUGAUGAAGAUGAUGAAAGCAAUGGACGGGUGAUGAUCAACCUUUUCUUCAUUUGAUCAAAAAUAUCCUCGCUACGUUCUUUCUGAUUCAUUCUCUGUAAUGCCGAGAGAGAAGAAAUCCAGGCAUAUUAUUUGAUUCUGCUUCAAUAUUUUGCAGUCGGAGAUUGGAUAGGCUAUUCCUUGAUUGAUUGCCACAUGUAAUGGGUUUGGCUGUGGGCUGUCAGAGACCUGGAAGGUCCGGGUAUCAAGCCCAAUGCAUAUCAACUUUAAUUUCAGAAUGAAAGGACAAAAUUCAGCACCUAUAACAUCCUCACUGCUCAUAUACGGCAUUGUGUGAUCAACCUACCAAGUCAUAGACGGCGGAUGAUGGACGGUCCAGGUUGCACCCUAAACUCCCCGUCCCAAUACCACGGCAAUGUAAUCUUCUCCAGCACUGCAACAGUGAUUACUCUACUCGGUGGUCUUCUAUCGGAACCUGUUAUGGAUAGGGUAAUGAAUAUGUAGCGUUUAAUGUCCAAAUCUCAUCAUUGUCAGUUGAAGCUGGACCGUGGCUGCCUCUUUAUGAAGCAGAACGGUGUGGUCCUGUGUAAAUGGUGCAGACCGCAAACCUCUCGCACCAAACUCUUUGAACAACUUCAUUGCCAAAUUUAAUAGUUGAUGCACCAAUAAGAAAGUGGAGAGACAGAGAGUAUAAUACAACGUAAAUCUCAUGGUUUUGAACACAAUUUAAAGAAAACAUGAGAUUAGAUAA
Molecule: non-coding RNA, 939 nt
Organism: Theobroma cacao (cacao)
Lineage: Eukaryota; Viridiplantae; Streptophyta; Magnoliopsida; Malvales; Malvaceae
Source: RefSeq, a predicted model, not a curated record